Macrobrachium nipponense is the source of this 664-nucleotide long non-coding RNA. RefSeq lists it as uncharacterized. The transcript is spliced from 3 exons. Lineage: Eukaryota; Metazoa; Arthropoda; Malacostraca; Decapoda; Palaemonidae. The record is from RefSeq and is a predicted model, not a curated record.
AAGUGAGGUUGGUUUAGUAUUUAUAUUCACACGCAAAGGGAGCCGAGAUCACAGAAGACCUUCACUCCUUAAAGAGGCAAGACAUCCGAAGAAUUGUUCCGAAUCACUCCAGUGUAGUUGCUUUUCCUACGGCAAGAACUCUCAAAGAUGGCAAGGUUCCAAACGAUGAUGGUGUUCGCCUUUGUCGUCCUGUCGGUUUUCAUAAUUUCCGACACCACAGCACAGAAAGGAGACGACGAUGACUUCCCACCAGGCUACUGCUGGAGACUUAUAGUGGACUGUGACGCUGACCCAGAUCAUGAAUGCUGUGGGGUCGGUUCGAACACACCCAGGCCUAACCCUCCGCAACGUGGAAAAUAGGAAUUAAUCAACGAACGAAAGAGGGCAUUCCAUCGGAUCGCGAGGACCAGCCCAGUGCAGUGAGGCAAAAGGAUGGAUGUCAGCUGAAGAAUUACCGUUUCAUGAAUAACUGAGGAUUGUCGUCACUUCGUACGAAGGAAAAUUAUUGAAAUUAACCAAAUUAACUUUUACCUAAGUUGGGCAAAUAUCUGUUACUUUUUUAAAAUUUGGGAAAUAAAUGUUGCUUUGAUGUAAGGUAAAUGAAUUAUUGAAAUUUACGUCAAUAAAAGAGAAGAAUUCCUUUUAAUAGAAUUCUCCAAUCUCA